UCUUCCCUACGCCGGGCGAGCCCUAGAAUUGUUCGGAAGGAAAAGAGCAAGCAGGGGGCGUGGUGUAGGGAGUGGGGCGGGGCUACGGAGCGGCCUGGCUUAAAUAUUGUUUCACCUUUUGGCGCCAAAUGAUUGGUAUUCAUACUUACUCAAGCCAGUUGUUUCCCUGACUAGACCUCCAGUACAAUGCUGAAUAGAAGUGGCAAGAGUAGAGAACCAUCUCUUGUUCCUGUUCUUGGAAGGAAACCAUUCCGUUUUCAUCAUUAAGUAUAAUGAGAUGAGUACCCUGCUGAAUUAUACCGAGUAGAGGAAUCUUCGCUGAGAGGCAGUCUAGCAUGGUGGGGACUGCAGACCAAAGCAUGGAAGAGUGAAGGUUCUAAAGUCAGAUGUCCUGGCCAUGAAUCCUGCGUCUCCCAAUUAAUAACCCGAGAC
This is a long non-coding RNA of Neofelis nebulosa (Clouded leopard), 432 nucleotides long. RefSeq lists it as uncharacterized. The record is from RefSeq and is a predicted model, not a curated record. The transcript has 3 exons. NCBI's taxonomy places the organism in Eukaryota, Metazoa, Chordata, Mammalia, Carnivora, Felidae.